Molecule: ribosomal RNA, 323 nt
Filed under: uncultured Chloroflexota bacterium
Lineage: Bacteria; Bacillati; Chloroflexota
Description: bacterial SSU rRNA
Rfam family: Bacterial small subunit ribosomal RNA
Source: RNAcentral
GAUGAACGCUGGCGGCGUGCCUAAUACAUGCAAGUCGAACGGAGAAUGUAGCAAUACGUUCUUAGUGGCGAACGGGUGAGUAACGCGUUGAUGACCUGCCCCGAAGAGAGGGAUAACAGCUCGAAAGAGCUGCUAAUACCCCAUGUGGUCAUUGGGAUUAGAUGCCCGAUGACUAAACGGAGUAAUUCGCUUCGGGAGGGAUCUGCGUCCCAUCAGCUAGUUGGUGAGGUAAUGGCCCACCAAGGCUAUGACGGGUAGGGGACCUGAGAGGGUGGCCCCCCACAAUGGUACUGAAACACGGACCAUACACCUACGGGUGGCUG